This 117-nucleotide ribosomal RNA is filed under the name Neogale vison (American mink). The record is from RNAcentral. Lineage: Eukaryota; Metazoa; Chordata; Mammalia; Carnivora; Mustelidae.
GUCUACGGCCAUACCACCCUGAACGCGCCCAAUCUCGUCUGAUCUCGGAAGCUAAGCAGGGUCGGGCCUGGUUAGUACUUGGAUGGGAGAAACAUACACACAGGCACGCAGUGAGCC